This 395-nucleotide long non-coding RNA is filed under the name Mytilus galloprovincialis (Mediterranean mussel). The record is from RNAcentral. Lineage: Eukaryota; Metazoa; Mollusca; Bivalvia; Mytilida; Mytilidae.
UUUUAUACCCUCGAGCCUCCUUAAACAGGGACUUCUUAAUUUUCUUUUGGAGAGGACAGGCAGAUUACAUGAUCAUAGCAAGGCGCACAUUUUUUAUUUUUCUUUAAGUAAAGAGUGAAUGAAUAUCUUGUUAUUUUGUGUAAUUAUGUAUUUGCAUCCAUUGUAUGUGUUUUUUAUCGGAUGAUAAUGUAAAGUGCAUAUUUCACCUAACUUUUAAGUAUGAAGAUAUUAGUACAUGUAUGUAAGGUUUACGUUAAUCCAUUUGAUUGAAAGAUGUACAAUCCACAUUUGUAAAUAUUUUCAAAGAACUGCUGUACACAUGUGUGUGUAAGUGCCAACUAUGAUAAUAAACCAAGCUAUUCAAUGAAAAGAAUGAUUUUAUUUAUUUGAUGCCA